Molecule: ribosomal RNA, 300 nt
Filed under: uncultured Cystobacterineae bacterium
Lineage: Bacteria; Pseudomonadati; Myxococcota; Myxococcia; Myxococcales
Description: bacterial SSU rRNA
Rfam family: Bacterial small subunit ribosomal RNA
Source: RNAcentral
ACGUGGGUAACCUGCCCUUUGGCCCGGGAUAACUGAGGGAAACUUCAGCUAAUACCGGAUAAGACCACGUAAUGAGAAUUACGUGGGAAAAGCGGGGAACUUCUUCGGAAGCCUCGCACCAGAGGAUGGGCCCGCGGUCCAUCAGGUAGUUGGUGGGGUAAUGGCCUACCAAGCCUAAGACGGAUAGCUGGUCUGAGAGGAUGAUCAGCCACACUGGAACUGAGACACGGUCCAGACUCCUACGGGAGGCAGCAGUGGGGAAUAUUGCGCAAUGGGCGAAAGCCUGACGCAGCAACGCCG